AGCUUUGCCCAGUGGCAGUAUCGUAGCCAAUGAGGUUUAUCCGAGACGCGAUUACUGCUAAUUGAAAUAAGUUAAAUAAGUUUUUUUUCCCCCCUAUAGAAUAAAGAUCUAUGCUUCAGGAGUCCAUGAACUCUUGGGAAGCAUCUUGUGC
Small nuclear RNA from Tupaia belangeri (northern tree shrew), 151 nucleotides. Its record names the gene U4. It matches the Rfam family "U4 spliceosomal RNA". Rfam says of the family: U4 small nuclear RNA (U4 snRNA) is a component of the major U2-dependent spliceosome. The structure of U4 snRNA from yeast and human has been reported. U4 snRNA presents a k-turn RNA motif in the 5p-SL related to recognition of Snu13 protein. The record is from Ensembl. Lineage: Eukaryota; Metazoa; Chordata; Mammalia; Scandentia; Tupaiidae.